RNAcentral lists this non-coding RNA (28 nucleotides) under Homo sapiens (human). Lineage: Eukaryota; Metazoa; Chordata; Mammalia; Primates; Hominidae. The record is from RNAcentral.
UAGGGAAAUGUUUACAGUCAUCUGGUUC